AGCUAUAGGGCGGGACAAAAUAGAGUCGAUGUCCACCUAUUCGGUGGGUGACUAGUACAGAAAAAUAUAUACCCAUUUCGUGUGGACUAACGUGAGUUUUUGAGUAAGGCCUGCGCUUUACAGGGUUAAAAGAAACAGCCGCUGAUCUGCCUAGAUUUCGAAAACUUUCCAGAGUUCGCCAUUGGGUAAAUUUGGCAACCUGGCGCGGCAAGUUCAACAGCAGCAACUCCCGUAACCCAGUUACACGGUGAUGCUACAUCAGGUAGUACACCCUGGUAUGCUAGAGGCCUGACCUCCACCGCACUGGAACAGAGAUCUUGUAAGGACUGCUAGACCCCGAAAGAAGCAGCAACCCACAAGUAAAUUAAGUAGGGCUGCAGUAAUAGAUUAUGUGAGUAAUCAAGAAUUCUAUCGAUUACUCGCUUAAUUGAGUAAUCAGAUAAGAAGUGCUUUUGCUUUAUUAAAGAUCGAUAGUACGUAUACAAAAGAGAAUAUAUAAAGGUCUCUUAAAAUGAACAACUAAUUGGUUUCUAUUUAAGAAAAAUCAACAUUUUGUAUAUCUUAAAUUGCAUACGAUAUCUGUCAAAAAUAAAGAUAAUUUGGUGUAUUAAAGUCCCAUUUUACAUUCUGGGUUUUA
Long non-coding RNA from Electrophorus electricus (electric eel), 637 nucleotides. The record is from Ensembl. NCBI's taxonomy places the organism in Eukaryota, Metazoa, Chordata, Actinopteri, Gymnotiformes, Gymnotidae.